RNAcentral lists this ribosomal RNA (449 nucleotides) under uncultured bacterium. RNAcentral describes it as "partial 16S ribosomal RNA". It matches the Rfam family "Bacterial small subunit ribosomal RNA", at positions 29 to 523 of the family's 1533-position model. The record is from RNAcentral.
AACGAACGCUGGCGGCAGGCCUAACACAUGCAAGUCGAACGCUGUAGCAAUACAGAGUGGCAGACGGGUGAGUAACGCGUGGGAACAUGCCCUUCGGUUCGGAAUAACUCAGGGAAACUUGAGCUAAUACCGGAUACGCCCUUAGGGGAAAAGAUUUAUUGCCGAAGGAUUGGCCCGCGUCCGAUUAGCUAGUUGGUGAGGUAAUGGCUCACCAAGGCGACGAUCGGUAGCUGGUCUGAGAGGAUGAUCAGCCACACUGGGACUGAGACACGGCCCAGACUCCUACGGGAGGCAGCAGUGGGGAAUAUUGGACAAUGGGCGCAAGCCUGAUCCAGCCAUGCCGCGUGAGUGAUGAAGGCCCUAGGGUUGUAAAGCUCUUUCGCCAGGGACGAUAAUGACGGUACCUGGAUAAGAAGCCCCGGCUAACUUCGUGCAAGCCGCCGCAGUAA